CCGCACAGACGACCCGCUGGACGUCGGAUCGGCACGUUCCCACGUCCGGGCGACGUCGCGUGGUCCAGCCUCCAGCGUCCAGGAGCGGCGGGCGCGUUUCACGGUCACACCCAUGGAGUGGCUGUGACGCGGUUACAGGUGCCGGCGAGGGUGACCUCGGCUGCAAGUUCACGACUCCAAAGUUCCUCGUUUCACUCCAUCCUCCGUCCUGGCGCGGAUGGAUAUAAAGCCUUUCGCCACCCCCUCACGGCACAGUACGUCUAUCGUUUUCAAGUUCGCACUUUGUAGACAGGCAGACGACUCCCGCUUCAACAUGUCCUUCAAAUCUGUUGCCGUUUUCUUCGUGCUGGCCAUCGCCGUUGCCGCAGCCUACGUCCUGCCGAUCGUCCCGACCAGCGUCGUCUCCCACGAGGGCAUCGUCCAGGCUCACUCACCCUGGGCCUGGAGCUCCUCCUCCCGCAUCCAGUCCCACAACCCCAUCCUCCCCAUCCUCCACCCCAUCUACUACUAGAUCCUCCACCACGUUCAUGAAGCUUCCAGCACCAUGCCCGGAAACCAAUUUAUGUGUGUUUCGUAAGAUCUCAUAACCCCCCCCCCCCCAAUUUUUGUCAGUUUGGCGCUUUUUUGGUAUGCUGCAGUGAAGUUCCGUCCACUUCGACUGAAGAAAUCAAGGAAUGACGUCAUUUUGGACCCAGUGCGAAGGAUUUCAGAAGUUUCAGCAAUGGAAUAUUUCUAAAUUUCACAUCAAUCUGAAUGAGUGAAGAUCUAUAUUUUUCUCUCACUUUCUACCGGUUGAAAAAUUUGCGAAGAAAAGUACAAAAAAAGAAAAAAAUCCCCGAUAAAAUGCUGUUAAUAUUUUUUUUAUUAUUAAGUUGAAGUGUAUAAAUUGUAAAAAAGAUUUGUAAUAAAAGUUCUUUUGAGUGAGUUUCACUACUCCAAAACUAUUAUGCGUUAAGAUCAUUUUAAUUGACACUCCUUGGAAAAUUGACAGUCUUAAUUGGGACGAGAUACUCAUAUCCAGUUCGGCUUAUACUAAUCUCGUUACAGAGAAUGAAUUUUGUUCUUGCAACUGAAAAUCCGAUAAAACUGCAUCAAGAACAGCAAAGGCUUAAGUGGGACUGAAAAUAUCCAUAGCUAUGCUUAAAACUCUUUUUUUUUCAAUUUACAAACGUCCAUCAUAAUUUCCUUUAACUUUUCAUUUUCAUUUUUACUUUUAUUAAGCCGUUUUCUUUCUCCUUUUUUAAAGAAAAUGAUGAAAAACACAAGAGGAUAUAUGUCAGAUACCUAUCAAAUUUAAAAGCAUAUUGCUAAACCAUUAAAAAGAAAUUUUGUUAUUUGGUUCAGUGCUGAAAUUUUAGCAUUUUAAAGCUUCAAAAUUUGCUUCACUUGCAUUUUUAUCUAGACUGGCAAAUGGGGAUUUUUCUCUGAUUUUUCAGAGGGAAGCGAGUGAGUAUAGGUACUCAUUAGAUAAUCAAGUUAUAAUAUUAUGCAUUUAAAAUUAAAAGGAUAUUAAAAUAAGCAGUAAAAGAGGAAUUUUUAAGGUAAAAAACUAGAGCAAGUUUUCACCUCUCGCAGGAAUUUACCAAUCAAUGAUAUAAUCAUACUUCGUCACUAGAAAAUUUGGUGUUAUUCAGAAACCUAGGCUCGGCCAAAAAUAAAUAAAUACAAUAAAAGUCUGAUACUCGGCUCUUAUUGGCUAACUUGUUUUCUGGAUGUGUAUGAUUACUACGCAAUGUUUCUUAGGCCGAGGUUUUUCACAAGCCUGAAAUUGAGUCACCCUCUUCGAUUUUACAAACCAAGUCUAGAUCAUUUUCUUACACAUAGAAAAAAAAGCCAUAGGCUCCGAAGCUAGUUUUUGUGCCAGGAAAUGCUGAAAGAUUAGAAAAAAGUUUAGUUAUAAAAAAGAAACAAAGUCAAUUACAUAAGACUGUGCGAGUUAUAUAAAUGAAAUUAUGAUUUUUUUUUCGAUGAAACUUAUCUCAACGGUUUAACUCUGAAAACAAGUAUUUCAAAAGGUGCUGUUGCUUUUCUCUUGCAUACGUAUCUUUCUUUAAAAAAAAAAAAAAAGUUAAAAAAUAGGAUAAAAAUAGAAUAGACAUAGAAUAUUUUGUUGAAUACUAUGUAAACAUAAUUAGAAUAUUCUUUGAUUUUUGUCCCUUUGACUAGGUUCUUCCAUACCAAAUGUUUACCAUGAUAUUCGAUGGUUUUCCGCCAAAAAAAGUAAAAAAAUAAACGUAAUAUCAACGG
This 2247-nucleotide long non-coding RNA is filed under the name Bemisia tabaci. Its description in RNAcentral is "lncRNA ENSSSA1UGG009873". Lineage: Eukaryota; Metazoa; Arthropoda; Insecta; Hemiptera; Aleyrodidae. The record is from RNAcentral.